Molecule: ribosomal RNA, 468 nt
Filed under: uncultured bacterium
Lineage: Bacteria
Description: partial 16S ribosomal RNA
Rfam family: Bacterial small subunit ribosomal RNA
Source: RNAcentral
GACGAACGCUGGCGGCGCGCCUAACACAUGCAAGUCGAACGGAGCUGAGAGAAGCUUGCUUUUCUUAGCUUAGUGGCGAACGGGUGAGUAACGCGUGAGUAACCUGCCCUGGAGUGGGGGACAACAGUUGGAAACGACUGCUAAUACCGCAUAAGCCCACGAUCCGGCAUCGGAUUGAGGGAAAAGGAUUUAUUCGCUUCAGGAUGGACUCGCGUCCAAUUAGCUAGUUGGUGAGGUAACGGCCCACCAAGGCGACGAUUGGUAGCCGGACUGAGAGGUUGAACGGCCACAUUGGGACUGAGACACGGCCCAGACUCCUUCGGGAGGCAGCAGUGGGGGAUAUUGCACAAUGGGGGAAACCCUGAUGCAGCGACGCCGCGUGGAGGAAGAAGGUUUUCGGAUUGUAAACUCCUGUCGUUAGGGACGAUAAUGACGGUACCUAACAAGAAAGCACCGGCUAACUACGUG